CCAUAUCUCUUUAUAAUAUGAGUUAUGAAAUUAUUGUAAAAAUUUGGUUAAGUGGCAUCAUACCUAUCCUAACACACAUAAAUUCCUUAUUGAUGUAAACUUUGACACAAGAGACACAAGGAAGGAUGCUUACCUGGAAGACCAAAAAGAUAAUUAGAGAGAAGCAUGAAGAAUGAUUCAAGUCCUAUAGGGACCUAUCACCUGAGCUCGUGCCAAAAGCUUAUAAAAAGCUUUCAAUCUUCUCAUCCAAGGUUAGAUUAUCUAAGAGAUUGAUUUUAAGACUUAAGAAGCUGCAAG
Molecule: long non-coding RNA, 297 nt
Filed under: Carica papaya (papaya)
Lineage: Eukaryota; Viridiplantae; Streptophyta; Magnoliopsida; Brassicales; Caricaceae
Description: long non-coding RNA (CPAP_LNC000091)
Source: RNAcentral